This 253-nucleotide ribosomal RNA is filed under the name uncultured bacterium. Its description in RNAcentral is "partial 16S ribosomal RNA". It matches the Rfam family "Bacterial small subunit ribosomal RNA", at positions 524 to 776 of the family's 1533-position model. The record is from RNAcentral.
UACGUAGGGGGCAAGCGUUGUCCGGAAUUACUGGGCGUAAAGGGCUCGUAGGCGGCCAACUAAGUCAGACGUGAAAUCCCUCGGCUUAACCGGGGAACUGCGUCUGAUACUGGAUGGCUAGAGAUUGGGAGAGGGAUGCGGAAUUCCAGGUGUAGCGGUGAAAUGCGUAGAUAUCUGGAGGAACACCGGUGGCGAAGGCGGCAUCCUGGACCAACACUGACGCUGAGGAGCGAAAGCCAGGGGAGCAAACGGG